RNAcentral lists this ribosomal RNA (368 nucleotides) under Theileria orientalis. RNAcentral describes it as "SSU rRNA". It matches the Rfam family "Eukaryotic small subunit ribosomal RNA", at positions 497 to 911 of the family's 1831-position model. Lineage: Eukaryota; Apicomplexa; Aconoidasida; Piroplasmida; Theileriidae. The record is from RNAcentral.
UUAAUGUUCUGGAAAUGGAAUGGAGGGAAAUUUAAACCUCUUCCAGAGUAUCAAUUGGAGGGCAAGUCUGGUGCCAGCAGCCGCGGUAAUUCCAGCUCCAAUAGCGUAUAUUAAAAUUGUUGCAGUUAAAAAGCUCGUAGUUGAAUUUCUGCUGCAUUYCAUUUYUCUUUCUGAGUUUGUUUUUGCGGCUUAUUUCGGUUUGAUUUUUUCUUUCCGGAUGAUUACUUUGAGAAAAUUAGAGUGCUCAAAGCAGGCUUUUGCCUUGAAUAGUUUAGCAUGGAAUAAUAAAGUAGGACUUUGGUUCUAUUUUGUUGGUUUUAGGUACCAAAGUAAUGGUUAAUAGGAACAGUUGGGGGCAUUCGUAUUUA